This 253-nucleotide ribosomal RNA is filed under the name uncultured bacterium. RNAcentral's name for it is "partial 16S ribosomal RNA". It matches the Rfam family "Bacterial small subunit ribosomal RNA", at positions 524 to 776 of the family's 1533-position model. The record is from RNAcentral.
UACGUAGGGUGCAAGCGUUAAUCGGAAUUACUGGGCGUAAAGCGUGCGCAGGCGGCUUUGCAAGACAGAUGUGAAAUCCCCGGGCUCAACCUGGGAACUGCAUUUGUGACUGCAAGGCUAGAGUACGGUAGAGGGGGAUGGAAUUCCGCGUGUAGCAGUGAAAUGCGUAGAGAUGUGGAGGAAUACCGAUGGCGAAGGCAGCCCCCUGGGAUAACACUGACGCUCAUGCACGAAAGCGUGGGGAGCAAACAGG